Molecule: long non-coding RNA, 4930 nt
Organism: Orcinus orca (killer whale)
Lineage: Eukaryota; Metazoa; Chordata; Mammalia; Artiodactyla; Delphinidae
Exons: 4
Source: RefSeq, a predicted model, not a curated record
AAGACCAUAGCACGUGGGUGUGUUUUCGUCUGUGUGUUAGUGUUUGGGCGUCGGUGUGUUUUUACAGUUUGCUCUAUAAAAAAUCGUGCACAAGUCAUGACCAUGAAUUUUGGACCUUUCUUGUAGAUGAGGGUACUGCUCUUUUUAUACGAUAUGAGGAAAGUAAAUGUUGACUGGUCCAGAAGUGCUUGCCAACGGACAGACCCGAGAAGUACGGAGAGUUUAUAGUCGACUUCCCCGCACUCUCUUCGACUGCGCACCGCCCCCCCCACACCUGGUUUUGUGAAACAAGGGAAGAAGAAGGGAGCCCGUUGCUGCCCAAGUAUAGGAGAAGAUGAAUGUUCACUCAGCUUCUUGUGGUCAUCAUUUCAUGAUGCAUAUUCUUUUCCCAUAUAGGUUGUUAGAGAGUUCAGUGUGCUCCUUUUAAAACCACAUUUUUGACUUUCCAAACUUCUCCCCUGACUUAAACUGCAAAUGGACUCUGCUAGCAACAACCAGAUUCUGUUUCUUCAUUGGCUUUGGACCAUGGAAACUGGAGCGGGAAAUCAGAUGACUGUACUUGCAAUGCAAAGAGCAAACUGAAUAAUCCUCAGUGAUACUGAGGUGGAGAUGCCUCGCCUUAUGAGAAACCAUGGAUCUUGAGCUUCUAGUUCUAAAUAUCCUUCUGAGAUGUCUUUCGCUGUUACUUGGAAAUGAUGGAUAAAACAUGGCCAGUAUAAGGUUAAUUCUUACUUAGCCGUUACAAUAAAGGGGACAUUAAGUCCAAGUACUACCUGGAUCAGGCCAAGAGGGGCCUCUGCUCUGACCUUCCUGAAGCUGUACCUUCUCCACCUGCCAUGGGGUAAGGAUCCCAGAGAUUGUGCUGUCCAGAGCCUGCUUUCUUCUAGACCAUGCUCGGGUACACGUACCCUAGAAUUCUCUAACCGGAUGAUCUUGAGUUCUUUCUAGUGACUUCACAGGCUUCUUCUCAGGGCUCAGCCUCCUGAGAUGGACUGUCCCCCUGGGCUGUACACCUCUGGGUCCAACAUGGGGCCAGGGAGCAUCUGUUUGUUAGUGGUUGUGAAUGGGGUUGGCUGUGCAGGUGGCGUCUUCACAUGCCUGGUUGUGAAACCUCUUGUGGUCGACGGCUGAGCUGGAGAUGGGAACAAAUGAGCCAGGGGUAGGCUGGCCUCCCUGCACCUCUGCAUUCCUGUGCAGCACUUCAAGGAGUCUGAGAAUUCCAAAUCUGAAUGUGGCCUUUCAGGUCGCUAUGAAUGUAUAUUUGCCAAGGCAGAGGAUAAAACAGAAGCUAUUUAACAGUUUGUUAGCUUGACCCACAACUUUAUAUAUACACAUAUAUAUUUCUUUUUAAUGUGGACCAUUUUAUUUAUUUAUUUUAAAACUUUAUUUAUUUAUUUUUGGCUGCAUUGGGUCUUCAUUGCUGCGCACGGGCUUUCUCUAGUUGUGGUGAGUGGGGGCUACCCUUCGAUAUGGUGCACAGGCUUCUCAUUGCAGUGGCUUCUCAGAGCACGGGCUCUAGGCGUGCGGGCUUCAGUAGUUGUAGCACGUGGGCUCAGUAGUUGUGGCUCGUGGGCUCUAGAGCGCAGGCUCAGUAGUUGUGGCACACGGGCUUAGUUGCUCCGCAGCAUGUGGGAUCUUCCUGGACCAGGGCUUGAACCCGUGUCCCCUGCAUUGGCAGGCGGAUUCUUAACCACUGUGCCACCAGGGAAGCCUAAUGUGGACCAUUUUAAAAGUCUUUAUUGAAUAUGUUACAAAAUUGCUUCUGUUUUAUGUUUUGGUUUUUCCGCCGUGAGGCUCUUAGCUCCCUGACCGGGGAUCAAACGCACACUCCCUGCAUUGGAAGGCGAAGUCUUAACCAGUGGACCGCCAGGGAAGUCCCAAUCCAUAACUUUUAAAUACUUAAAUGUAUGGUAUGAGGGCCUCCACUUGUACUUUUGCCCAAAGCAUCACAAAUGUUAGGAGUGGGCCUGAUUAACAUGGAUACCCAUAAAAAAUUCCAUGCUAAAAUGUCCAUGAUUUUCUUUGCUGACACAGAAGCGCCCAAGAAACAGAGCAGACUGUUCAAAAGCAAAAGCCGAGGAGAACUAACAAAAUACCAGGGAUGGCUAUCCGUUACCAUUUUUAUUCUUUUUUUUUAUCUUGCAAAUGAGAUUUCUGGAAAGGGAAAUAUCAUAAUUAAUAAAUCAAAACCAAUAAUGGGACAGUUUCAUUGGAAGAAAAAGCAGAGGAAAAAUCCCCAGACAUCAGUUGUACCAAACAUGGUAUGUAUCUGCUCUCUGUCAGCCAAAGCUUGGUGUCAGAAAAUUAUUGCUGGAAUAUUUGGAAUCCUUAAUUCCAGGAAACCUGGGGGCUUCUGGGCAGCAUAUGUGAAGUUAAGAGGCAAGAAAUAUUUCAUCUUCUGUGAAAGUCACAAGAACAAAGAACAAGGUAUUAGCAAGCUAGUGACUAGGUGUGGCCAAGUGAGUCUGUUUUCUUCUUUUCAUGUUUCUUAUGUUUUCUCUAAAUGUCUGAAGCCAAAGCUUUUUGGAGAAGGAGAGUCCGUCUUCCUUCUCCCCUCUGAGUUCAUGGGGGAAGGUUGCCUGUGCCUACUUGGCGUGGUGGUGUUUCUGGCUCAGUAGUUGUGGCUCAUGGGCUCUAGAGCGCAGGCAACAGCUGCCAACCACUCCUGACUCAUCUUCAACACAGGCUGCUCAUUUAUUCCUGGGUCACAUGGACGACUAGCAAAAGCUAGUAUAGAAGAAGCUUAGUCUUAGAUUCUUUCCAUUUAGAUUUCAAUCCUGAGGACCACUUGGGGACUCCUUUGAUGAGCCUCUUCAUUUACAGUCAUUGUGGCCUCUGGCAAAUCACUGAAUCUCAAGAAGCCUCAGUUUCUUAAGUGUAUCAUGAGAAUAAUGACAACCUACCUUAGAGGAUCAUUGUGAAAAUUGCCAACCAAGUGCCUAGUUUACAAUAGAUGCUUCCUAAAAUGUUUUGGAGCCUCUUCCAAAUAAUGUAGUAUUUUAAAAUUCGUCUACAUUUAUAUCAGACACAUAUUGUUUCUUUUUGUAUUUAAAUACAACUCUUAUGUAAAUAAAUUUUAAAUUAUUAUCUAAAUAAAUUCAAAUUAUUAUUUAGAUACACUUCUACCUGUACCCCUCCUGGAGUUUAUUCCAUCACUGUCUCUACAUACAUGUCUGGGGUAUAGUUCUAGAGGGUAGGUCUAGGAGAAGGGCCAAAAUGAAACUAGAGGAUGUCGUUUGAUUAUUUUCUGCCUGUCUUCCGAGGAACUCCUGAGUUAAAAAUGCAUCUGGCUCCCAUUUCCUGCAGAAUUUUGCUUAUUUGAAAUGUUCAAGAAAUCAACUGAUCCGACUUCAAACAGACUAGGUUCUGCUGGCCUUGGAAAAGCCCAAACCCCUGUUUGUGUCACUCCCAAGUCUGGAUUUCACAAGCAUCCAGUUCCUUUCAUACCUUAGUAAAGGACUUCUUUUUGGCUGUGUACUCUCUGUGCUGAGCCAAGUGUCAGGCUGGGAAUUGAGGCAAUAAAUCUUUGUGAGUCUUCAUAUUUGGAAUUUCUCCUGUUGCUUCUGAUAAGGAAAUGACAGAGUCUCUCAGCUCUAUGCAUGAACCUCAGAGAAAUUUGUAAUCCAAAUCAUGUUUUGCUCACAAAAUGGAAACAAAAAGUGCUAAACCUGGCUUUGAGUUAACCCAGAUGGUUUUGAAGGCCUGGGUGGUGGACAAGGAAAUUACAUUUGUUGAUUGAACUUGCAAAAUUUAAAAAUGAAAACAAAUUUCUUUCUAUCUUUUUAAAAAUUCUGAUUAAAUCUUUCUCAAUGGGUGGGGUGGAUGGCAGCAAGAUUCUUCCGAGGUGAAGGUCUUUGCAAAGAAUCUUCGCCUUCCUGUAGUAAGAAGAGACCUCACUGUUGGUUGCAUGACCUCCUCUGCCCCUUCCCACAUUUACUUUGGUACUUCCAAGUUUCGUUCUAAGCCUCAAAGACUGACUGAAGUGAAUAUGAUUGGUAAUCAGCAAUUUCUCAAAAAUGGAAAGAUUUUCCCAUAAUCUCUCCACAUUCUCUGAGAUGACUAAUGAAGCCAACCCAGGUCUGGCUAACUCCCUGAGUGAUCAUGGCAAAAAGAUAUUCUCAAAAUAAAACAAGAAAAACUUUUUUAUUAAAUGUUUCUAGUUGAUUUUGAGUAUGUUCUAUCCAACAGCAUCCCUGACAACAUUCAUUUCUGGCAUUUCAGUGCAAGUGGUAAAAAUGACUUGGAACAAAAAACUUCAUUCAGCAGCAAUCCCUUGGCCCUAGCUAUUGUUUGCCUGAGACCCACUACCAUAAAUGAAGAGGUGGAGGUUGAUUUUAUCAUCCAUGGUCAGAAUCCUGCCGGAGUUUGGUUGGUAUUGAUAUGACAUCAACUAGCUAGUGGCCUUUUUCAAAGGACCCGUGGUUUUGAGCUAUACCAUGUGAGAAACCCAGUUAAAAUGAGUUUCUUUCUCUCUCCUGAGUCUACAUUCAGUUCCUGAUUUUGAUUUUGUUGGCACAGGGUAAAAUGGUCAAUGAUCCUGACACAUUCACCAUUUGGAGUGAACUGGUCUACCCAUUCUUCUUACUACUGAUAGGGAUAGAAUAGCAUAGUUAUACAGGUAGUUGUAGAAGUCCCAGUAGGGGACUAUAGAUAGAGAGGGAAACCUAGGAAACUUUGGGAGACCACUGUAAGUUAAUGAUCGCUCAAGAAAGCUAUUGGGGGCUUCCCUGGUGGCGCAGUGGUUGAGAGUCCGCCUGCUGAUACAGGGGACGAGCGUUCGUGCCCUGGUCCGAGAAGAUCCCACGUGUCGCGGAGCGGCUUGGCCUGUGAGCCAUGGCCGCUGAGCCUGCGCGUCCGGAGCCUGUGCUCUGCAACGGGAGAGGCCACAACAGUGAGAGGCCCACGUACCGCAAAAAAAAAAAAAAAAAAG